Molecule: long non-coding RNA, 267 nt
Organism: Thalassophryne amazonica
Lineage: Eukaryota; Metazoa; Chordata; Actinopteri; Batrachoidiformes; Batrachoididae
Exons: 4
Source: RefSeq, a predicted model, not a curated record
ACAUAGGAAAAACCACUCGGUGUCUAAAAACUCGGAUUUCAGAACAUAGGAGCAAUAUAAGAACUUGUGAUGAAAAAAACCCUGUUGCGGUGCACUUCAAUUCCAUGAAACACAAUCUAUCCUCGUUGAGAUACAUUGGGAUUGAACAUGUAAAAGUCCCAAGAAGGGGAGGGGAUAUCAACAGUAUUCUUCUAAGAAGAGAGGAAUUUUAUAUAUUUUACCUCAAUACCUUGACGUCCUUUAUAUGACUGCCUGAAGAGAACAUGU